CUACACUUGGUAUGAAGGACACAUGUUAUAAAAUAUUAUAUUAUACACAAAUUUUUUAAAAAAAACCGAUUUACAUUAGUGUACUGUGUGGUGGGUUGAAUGAGGAAAGUAAUUAACUUUCCUUGUUUUUGCUCGCACGUGUCAAUGUUAUUUAUAGUAUUUGGUUUCUCUCUCUUCCUAAUUUUACUUCUCUCUCCUUUGCUCAUUCUCUCUUCCGCCAUAUUUUUUGCUUCCGUUUCCGCCAUUGUUACAAGCUUGUAGCUUUCUUCCAUCGAUUUCUAGGGGAUUUGGUUGAAGAGAAAUGCUGGACACUUUGGGAGAAGAUCAAUGAAAACCUUUGUGCCGCAAGACCUGUCUUAACAAUUGCUAUGGAUGCUGGCCUUAGUAAGGCUAUUCUUGAGACUGAUGUGGUAAUGUUACUGCUCAUAAACUUGCCCAAGCUAGUGGAGAUGAGAGUAUGGAUUGAGGAGGCUCCACGUUGUGUAAUGGCUGCUGUGAUGCUUGAUUCUGCUAUCAUCCCUUAAUAAAUUUUGCUACUGUAACUUUCAAAGUUCAUCCUUCUUUUUUUAUAACACUUAUUCAAUGGUUUUAGGGAUCUCGAGGCCUCAAGAACUUUUAGAGCAAGUAAACUGAUAUUGUAAUAGUCAAUAUGCAACUAUGAUAAGAGGUUGAGUCAUUUAUAGAUGAUGAUUUGGAUUGGCACAAUGUACUUUUGAUGACACCAGAGUUAUUGAUGAAUUGAAGUUUCUCUCUAUCCUUCUUUUAA
This is a long non-coding RNA of Chenopodium quinoa (quinoa), 766 nucleotides long. RefSeq lists it as uncharacterized. Lineage: Eukaryota; Viridiplantae; Streptophyta; Magnoliopsida; Caryophyllales; Amaranthaceae. The transcript has 3 exons. The record is from RefSeq and is a predicted model, not a curated record.